GAUGAAGAACGUAGUGAAAUGCGAUACGUAAUGUGAAUUGCAGAAUUCAGUGAAUCAUCGAAUCUUUGAACGCAUAUUGCGCUCUUUGGUAUUCCGAAGAGCAUGCUUGUUUGAGUAUCAGUAAACACCUCAACCUCUUCUUGAUUUUUCAAAAGGAGGGUGGACUUGAGCUAUCCCAACAACCUUUACCGGUCGGCGGGCGGCUUGAAAUGCAGGUGCAGCUGGACUUUUAUCUGAGCUAAAAGCAUAUCUAUUUAGUCCUCGUCAAACAGGAUUAUUACUUUUGCUGCAGCUAACAUAAAGGAUAAUUGUCCUCUUUGCUGACUGAUGCAGGAUUUUACGACACUUUAUGUGUUGUUCAACUCGAUCUCAAAUCAAGUAAGACUACCCGCUGAACUUAAGCAUAUCAAUAAGCGGAGGA
Molecule: unclassified non-coding RNA, 421 nt
Filed under: soil metagenome
Description: partial contains 5.8S ribosomal RNA, internal transcribed spacer 2, and large subunit ribosomal RNA
Rfam family: 5.8S ribosomal RNA (bases 1-120)
Source: RNAcentral